Molecule: ribosomal RNA, 253 nt
Filed under: uncultured bacterium
Lineage: Bacteria
Description: partial 16S ribosomal RNA
Rfam family: Bacterial small subunit ribosomal RNA
Source: RNAcentral
UACGUAGGGUGCGAGCGUUGUCCGGAAUUAUUGGGCGUAAAGAGCUUGUAGGCGGUUUGUCGCGUCUGCUGUGAAAAUCCGGGGCUCAACCCCGGACUUGCAGUGGGUACGGGCAGACUAGAGUGUGGUAGGGGAGACUGGAAUUCCUGGUGUAGCGGUGGAAUGCGCAGAUAUCAGGAGGAACACCGAUGGCGAAGGCAGGUCUCUGGGCCACUACUGACGCUGAGACGCGAAAGCGUGGGUAGCAAACAGG